This 262-nucleotide ribosomal RNA is filed under the name uncultured Staphylococcus sp. RNAcentral describes it as "partial 16S ribosomal RNA". It matches the Rfam family "Bacterial small subunit ribosomal RNA", at positions 505 to 766 of the family's 1533-position model. The record is from RNAcentral. Lineage: Bacteria; Bacillati; Bacillota; Bacilli; Caryophanales; Staphylococcaceae.
GUGCCAGCCGCCGCGGUAAUACGUAGGUGGCAAGCGUUAUCCGGAAUUAUUGGGCGUAAAGCGCGCGUAGGCGGUUUUUUAAGUCUGAUGUGAAAGCCCACGGCUCAACCGUGGAGGGUCAUUGGAAACUGGAAAACUUGAGUGCAGAAGAGGAAAGUGGAAUUCCAUGUGUAGCGGUGAAAUGCGCAGAGAUAUGGAGGAACACCAGUGGCGAAGGCGACUUUCUGGUCUGUAACUGACGCUGAUGUGCGAAAGCGUGGGA